GACGAACGCUGGCGGCGUGCCUAACACAUGCAAGUCGAACGAAGCAUAGCAAUAUGCUUAGUGGCGGACGGGUGAGUAACGCGUGAACAAUCUGCCCUGUACAAAGGAAUAGCCUCGGGAAACCGGUUAAAACCGUAUGACACUUUAGUAUCGCAUGAUAAGAAAGUCAAAUCGAAUAGAGGUAUGGGAUGAGUUCGCGUCUGAUUAGCUGGUUGGCGGGGUAACGGCCCACCAAGGCGACGAUCAGUAGCCGGCCUGAGAGGGUGAACGGCCACACUGGAACUGAGACACGGUCCAGACUCCUACGGGAGGCAGCAGUGGGGAAUAUUGCACAAUGGAGGGAACUCUGAUGCAGCGACGCCGCGUGAGUGAAGAAGGUCUUCGGAUCGUAAAACUCUGUCCUUGGUGAAGAAAAGGACGGUAAGCCAAGGAGGAAGCCCCGGCUAACUACGUG
RNAcentral lists this ribosomal RNA (454 nucleotides) under uncultured bacterium. RNAcentral describes it as "bacterial SSU rRNA". It matches the Rfam family "Bacterial small subunit ribosomal RNA", at positions 28 to 507 of the family's 1533-position model. The record is from RNAcentral.